Molecule: long non-coding RNA, 213 nt
Filed under: Mytilus galloprovincialis (Mediterranean mussel)
Lineage: Eukaryota; Metazoa; Mollusca; Bivalvia; Mytilida; Mytilidae
Source: RNAcentral
AUUGUUUUUAUACUGCAACUUAAAUUAAUAAAAUCAGAGCUUUUUUAAUCGUAAAAAAACCCUUUUGUAUCCCUUAAUGGACCUCUGAUUGUGGAGAAAGUGUUCCAUGAUGAAAUUGACAUUAUACAAAAUAUAGCUAUGCUUCUAUAUUUAGGAAAUAAACACAACUAGUUGCAGUAUAAAUACAUCUAUAUGCAGAGUUACAUAAAGCGC